UACAGAGGGUGCGAGCGUUGUUCGGAAUUAUUGGGCGUAAAGGGCGCGUAGGCGGUGCGGUAAGUCACCUGUGAAAUCUCCUGGCUCAACUGGGAGUCUGCAGGCGAAACUGCCGUGCUGGAGUACUGGAGAGGAGAUUGGAAUUUACGGUGUAGCAGUGAAAUGCGUAGAUAUCGUAAGGAAGACCAGUGGCGAAGGCGAAUCUCUGGACAGUUACUGACACUGAGGCACGAAGGCCAGGGGAGCAAACGGG
This 253-nucleotide ribosomal RNA is filed under the name uncultured prokaryote. RNAcentral describes it as "partial 16S ribosomal RNA". It matches the Rfam family "Bacterial small subunit ribosomal RNA", at positions 524 to 776 of the family's 1533-position model. The record is from RNAcentral.